Molecule: ribosomal RNA, 439 nt
Filed under: uncultured bacterium
Lineage: Bacteria
Description: bacterial SSU rRNA
Rfam family: Bacterial small subunit ribosomal RNA
Source: RNAcentral
CCUACGGGAGGCAGCAGUGGGGAAUAUUGGACAAUGGGCGAAAGACUGAUCCAGCCAUGCCGCGUGAGUGAAGAAGGCCUUAGGGUUGUAAAGCUCUUUCACCGGUGAAGAUAAUGACGGUAACCGGAGAAGAAGCCCCGGCUAACUUCGUGCCAGCAGCCGCGGAAUACGAAGGGGGCUAGCGUUGCUCGGAAUUACUGGGCGUAAAGCGCGCGUAGGCGGAUAGAUAAGUCAGAGGUGAAAUCCCGGGGCUCAACCCCGGAAUUGCCUUUGAUACUGUUUAUCUUGAGUGCAGAAGAGGUAAGUGGAAUUCCGAGUGUAGAGGUGAAAUUCGUAGAUAUUCGGAGGAACACCAGUGGCGAAGGCGGCAACCUGGCUCGAUACUGACGCUGAGGCGCGAAAGCGUGGGGAGCAAACAGGAUUAGAUACCCGUGUAGUC